AUUGAACGCUGGCGGCAUGCCUAACACAUGCAAGUCGAGCGGAAGAGGGGAGCUGGCUGCUGGAUUCAGCGGCGGAGGGGUGAGGAAGGCCAAGGAAUCGGCAUGGGAGGGGGGGAUAACGUCCGGAAACGGGCGCGAAGACCGCAUACGUCCUGAGGGAGAAAGAGGGGGAUGGUGGGACCGGAAGAGAGCAGGUGAGCCUAGGUCGGAUUAGCUAGUUGGUGGGGUAAAGGCCCACCAAGGCGACGAUCCGUAACUGGUCUGAGAGGAUGAUCCGUCACACUGGAACUGAGACACGGUCCAGACUCCUACGGGAGGCAGCAGUGGGGAAUUUUGGACAAUGGGCGCAACCCUGAUCCAGCCAUGCCGCGUGUAUGAAGUAGGUCUUCGGAUUGUAAAGCACUUUUGUUUGGGAAGAAGAGUAGUCAGUUAAUAACUUGCUGUUUUGACGUUACCUACAGAAUAAGCACCGGCUAACUUCGUG
Molecule: ribosomal RNA, 484 nt
Filed under: uncultured bacterium
Lineage: Bacteria
Description: partial 16S ribosomal RNA
Rfam family: Bacterial small subunit ribosomal RNA
Source: RNAcentral